RNAcentral lists this ribosomal RNA (449 nucleotides) under uncultured prokaryote. RNAcentral describes it as "bacterial SSU rRNA". It matches the Rfam family "Bacterial small subunit ribosomal RNA", at positions 355 to 796 of the family's 1533-position model. The record is from RNAcentral.
UGAGGAAUAUUGCGCAAUGGGCGAAAGCCUGACGCAGCGACGCCGCGUGGAGGAUGAAGGCUUUCGGGUCGUAAACUCCUGUCAAGUGGGAAGAAAUGCUGAGCUCUAACAUAGUUCAGAGAUGACGGUACCACUAGAGGAAGCACCGGCUAACUUCGUGCCAGCAGCCGCGGUAAUACGAGGGGUGCUAGCGUUAUUCGGAUUUACUGGGCGUAAAGGGUGCGUAGACGGUACAUUAAGUUUGUUGUUUAAUCUUCCGGCUUAACCGGAAAAAUGCGGUGAAUACUGAUGUACUAGAGAAUGGAAGAGAGGAGUGGAAUUCCCGGAGUAGCGGUAAAAUGCGUAGAUCUCGGGAGGAACACCAAUGGCGAAGGCAGCUCCUUGGUCCAAUUCUGACGUUGAGGCACGAAAGCGUGGGGAGCAAACAGGAUUAGAUACCCGUGUAGUCC